This 453-nucleotide ribosomal RNA is filed under the name uncultured bacterium. Its description in RNAcentral is "bacterial SSU rRNA". It matches the Rfam family "Bacterial small subunit ribosomal RNA", at positions 933 to 1382 of the family's 1533-position model. The record is from RNAcentral.
UGGAGUCAUGUGGUUUAAUUCGACGCAACGCGAAGAACCUUACCAGGGCUUGACAUCCCCUGACCGCGUAUGAAAGUACGUUUUCACCCUCGGGUGACAGGGAGACAGGUGGUGCAUGGUUGUCGUCAGCUCGUGUCGUGAGAUGUUGGGUUAAGUCCCGUAACGAGCGCAACCCCUGUGGUUAGUUGCCAGCAAGUAGCGUUGGGCACUCUAGCCAGACUGCCGGUGAUAAAUCGGAGGAAGGUGGGGACGACGUCAAAUCAUCAUGCCCUUUAUGUCCUGGGCUACACACGUACUACAAUGGCCGUUACAACGGGAAGCGAAGGAGCAAUCCGGAGCAAAUCCCUUAAAGGCGGUCCCAGUUCAGAUUGUGGGCUGAAACUCGCCCACAUGAAGGCGGAAUUGCUAGUAAUUGCAGAUCAGCAUGCUGCAGUGAAUACGUUCCCGGGCCUU